This 658-nucleotide ribosomal RNA is filed under the name Abutilon indicum. RNAcentral describes it as "eukaryotic LSU rRNA". The stretch from base 212 to 367 matches the Rfam family "5.8S ribosomal RNA". The record is from RNAcentral. Lineage: Eukaryota; Viridiplantae; Streptophyta; Magnoliopsida; Malvales; Malvaceae.
CCCUCUCGAUGCAUUGGUGUGUUUGGUCCUGCCUCACCCCACCUCGUGAGGGAGAGUUGCAAGUGCCAUGCACUCCAAGGCAAAACCAACAACCCCCGGCGCGAAUUGCGCCAAGGAAUUUAAAUGAAAAGAGUGCACGUUACUAUCGUCGACCCGUUCGCGGUGUUUGGACGAGAGUUUCGCUGUUACUUUUGUCGUGAAAAUACAAAACGACUCUCGGCAACGGAUAUCUCGGCUCUCGCAUCGAUGAAGAACGUAGCGAAAUGCGAUACUUGGUGUGAAUUGCAGAAUCCCGCGAACCAUCGAGUCUUUGAACGCAAGUUGCGCCCCAAGCCAUUAGGCCGAGGGCACGUCUGCCUGGGUGUCACGCAUCGUUGCCCCCAUCAAACCUCGAGCUUAUUUCAGCUCAGGUCAAUUUGAGGGCGGAAAUUGGCUUCCCGUGCGCUCACCGCCUGCGGUUGGCCUAAAUAAUAGUCUUCGGCGAUGAAGUGCCGCGACAAUCGGUGGGAAUGCUUUUGGCUGCCUCGUUCGAAGUCGUGUGCGAUCGUCGGUUUGGACCUUAUGACCCUUUUGGCAUCACAAUGAUGGUGCUUGCAUCGCGACCCCAGGUCAGGCGGGAUUACCCGCUGAGGUUUAAGCAUAUCAAUAAGCGGAGGAA